RNAcentral lists this transfer RNA (75 nucleotides) under Candidatus Pelagibacter sp. Its description in RNAcentral is "tRNA-Phe". It matches the Rfam family "tRNA". From Rfam's summary of the family: Transfer RNA (tRNA) molecules are approximately 80 nucleotides in length. Their secondary structure includes four short double-helical elements and three loops (D, anti-codon, and T loops). The record is from RNAcentral. Lineage: Bacteria; Pseudomonadati; Pseudomonadota; Alphaproteobacteria; Candidatus Pelagibacterales; Candidatus Pelagibacteraceae.
GGCCAGGUAGCUCAGGAGUAGAGCAGUGCCCUGAAAAGGCAUGUGUCGCAAGUGCGAAUCUUGCUCUGGCCACCA